AUGGACACGGACGAGUUCUUCAACCCAGGCUGCGGCGGGCCGGCCGGCGACGGCUGCGACUGCGGGGACUGCGAGGAGUGGAGGCACGACCACGGCCGCACCAAGCACUUCCUCCUCUUCGCCUCCGACCACAAAGAUUUUCUGUGCACACCGUGGGAGGUCACAAGGCAGCUGAGAAAUAUGAUCACCGGCUCCGAGCCUAUCAAACUUGAAGCUCCUGAUGGCCAGAUGUACAGUGUUGAGUUCGUCAAGUUCGGCCUGAUAACUCUUACGACUGGGUGGCGGCGCUUUGUGGAUGCUAAUCACAUACAACAAGGUGAUCCCAUCUUGUUCGUUUACUGUGGGAGCUCCACGUUCAAGGUCCACAUAUGCACUUCAUCCGGUCACAAGAAUUCUCUGCCCUGUUCUCAACAGCCUCCCAACAUCCUUAGAGCUGUUCUGCUUCGUGAUCGUCAUGUGCUGAAUGGUAAAGUGAAUAGGACCUUCAAGUCGGGUGCUUUUGGUAAUGCUUUUCUGAUCAAUAUAACAGUGUUCUUUCUUGAUGUGCUGAAUGAACAAGUGGUGCCUGAUCCUGCACAUGUUCAGACGUCAACCGACUUUGGCUAUACCAUGUUCCCCGGGACCUGCCUAAGCAAAGCACAAGAGAAGAAAGUGCUAGAGCUAGCUGAUAGCAGCAUGAGGUCUGAAAUUCCUCUGCAUGUGGCACCUAUGAACAAAAGAAAUGCCAGCAAGGACUACUAUGUUUGCAUACCGUUGAGGCUUUUGGACAAUUUCAAAGAGGGGAUAACUGAAACUGUCAUUCAGCUCGAAGCCCAUGGCAACAACAUGGUAUACAGUGUUGGCGUAAGCAAGCACAGUGAUGAUCAAAUAAUCCUCCAGUCUGAGUUGAGUGAUUUCGUAGCUUCUCUCCGCAUACAAGACAACGACCUCCUCGUCUUCAGAAGCAAGAGGAAAGCCCGCCUUGAAGUUCUUGUCCUUGAUCCGAGCGGUUGUGAGAAAACUUGUUUUGCCAUGGGAAACUCCUCAAAUGCCCAGGAGAUGGCUUUGACAUCCUCCCCUUGUAUUAAGUCAGGAUGCCCCGCUGGCAAGUUGAAUGAAGCCGGUUUAGAAGCUCCUAUGUCCAACAAGUCCUACAUAUUACCCGAACGGAAGAACCUAACUUGGCAACAAGAGAAGAAAGUAAAGGAGAAAGUCCAUGCAAUAGAAUCUGAAUUCCCUGUAUUUGUGAAGGUGAUGACGGCACGUGAUUUAUCGAACCCAACAAAGCUGUUGUUCUGCAAGGAAUAUGCUUCGGCAUGUCUCCCGCUCAAACAAACACCUCUCCUAAUUGGGCUGGAAGGUAGCACGAUGCAGUGGCCUACAACGCUGACCGUCACGGAGUAUACGAAAGGGAGGAUGAUUUCCUUACUCUGGAAGGACUUUGUCUUGGACGUCGGGAUGAAGGCAGGGGACAUCUGCCUCGUCGAACUGGCAGACAGGAGCAGCGAUAGCCUCAAGAUGAUGGUCCAUCUAAUCCGCAAGUCGGAAAUGCAGCUCUAG
RNAcentral lists this ribosomal RNA (1539 nucleotides) under Triticum aestivum (bread wheat). Its description in RNAcentral is "partial small subunit ribosomal RNA". The record is from RNAcentral. Lineage: Eukaryota; Viridiplantae; Streptophyta; Magnoliopsida; Poales; Poaceae.